UACAGAGGGUGCGAGCGUUGUCCGGAAUCACUGGGCGUAAAGGGCGCGUAGGUGGCGGCCCAAGUCCAUGGUGAAAGCUCGAUGCUCAACAUCGAGUCGGCCACGGAUACUGGGUUGCUCGAGCACUGUAGGGGCAGAUGGAAUUCCGGGUGUAGCGGUGGAAUGCGUAGAGAUCCGGAAGAACACCGGUGGCGAAGGCGGUCUGCUGGGCAGUUUAGCUGACACUGAGGCGCGACAGCGUGGGGAGCAAACAGG
This 255-nucleotide ribosomal RNA is filed under the name uncultured bacterium. RNAcentral's name for it is "partial 16S ribosomal RNA". It matches the Rfam family "Bacterial small subunit ribosomal RNA", at positions 524 to 776 of the family's 1533-position model. The record is from RNAcentral.